UGGCCUGUAGCUCAAUUGGCAGAGCAGCCGCCUGUUAAGCGGCUCGUUCCAGGUUCGAGUCCUGGCGGGUCAGC
This 74-nucleotide transfer RNA is filed under the name Nocardia ninae. RNAcentral's name for it is "tRNA-Asn". It matches the Rfam family "tRNA". From Rfam's summary of the family: Transfer RNA (tRNA) molecules are approximately 80 nucleotides in length. The record is from RNAcentral. Lineage: Bacteria; Bacillati; Actinomycetota; Actinomycetes; Mycobacteriales; Nocardiaceae. RNAcentral also lists the same sequence under 1 other name.